Molecule: long non-coding RNA, 267 nt
Filed under: Fukomys damarensis (Damara mole-rat)
Lineage: Eukaryota; Metazoa; Chordata; Mammalia; Rodentia; Bathyergidae
Description: lncRNA (ENSFDAG00000024288.1)
Source: RNAcentral
AAAGAAGAGUCAGAGAAGAACAGUGCAUCGCUAACGUACUUUCUUACUAGUAUUGGAACAGGAAGUCUGGUACAAAGCUACUCUGGAGGAAAGGCAGCACCCAGAGCUGGGUCGCUGCCAAAUCGGGAGGCACAUGAUCUAUCAAGGUGGGAGCCUUGGAGUAGGGCCUGCUGCUGUAUGCGUGCCUACAAAGUGAGCAAAUCAGAGGAGCCACCGACAGACCUUAGCCGCGUAACAGUGCCUCCUAGGAGAUCGUCAUCCCCCUAA